AUGCGCUCCUGUGUCACGCUGACCAGGGUUAAAUACAGAACUGCUCACCCCAAAAACUGUGGGCGAGGUCACACCCCAACGAGUCUUUGAUGCGUCUUUGCUCAUUUGAGCGCUGCAGAUUCAAGCAGGGACACACAUGUGCACACAAACAAACACAGAUGGUCUUUUCCCUUGGAAAACAUAUGGACUUUUUCCAGGUCUUGGAGCUAAACGGGCUGAUUCCCCCUAUCUCCUGGCCAUCUGAUUUAACCUUUCCAGAAGUACCUGAUCCCCCAGAGUAAAACCCUUAAAGCCCAGCGUGACCGGCCUCUAGACUGUGGGAACUGUACUGUUGACUCUUGCCCCAUAAAAACUGCUUGCAAUUACAGAGAAGGACAACCAGAUGUAAUGAGAGGAAGUGCAACGGCCCAUCACUGCCCAGUGCUUUAUAAUCAAACUCGGCAGACUUUGAGAAGGAAGGUUACGCCUGAGAGACUGAAGUGAAAAGCCCUGUCCUCUGAUUUAUGACCUUCUGCUGCCAUCGGAUCUUCUCCUGCACCGAAACAGACCCUCCCAGAAACCCCCAAGAGUUUUAGGUUUCCAAAGCCCAUCGAACUGUCUCGCGACGGCCGUCGUCAUCCUGUCGCGGUGUGUUUAUGCCGGAGGAGGGACGGAUCACUCCGGCCUGUUCUCCGUCCUGACUCAUGCACGGCUCUGGCAGAUUGGAGCUGCUGGCCCAGAAGAAUUAGGCCAGAUUUGCCACACUUCACAACCCUGAUGCACAUUCCCUCCAAAUGCAUGAGGGCGAUUGUGAACAGAGUCUCAUUAUACCACCGUGGCACAAUGAGAGUGGAAAUCUUGGCACGCUCCUUCCUCACAAGCCUUUUCAGACAGAGUUCAGAUGUGUGUAGUCUUCGUCUGAUGAAUGCGUUGUAGGCUCCUCUGACUGUGUAAUUGUGCUUUUACAGUGCGUACGAGACCACCCACGACACCACAGCAUCAAGACCUAAACUUACCCAAAACAUCAUCACUGUUCUUCUGCACACAGGAAAAUGCAAAUCUACAUUUUCACCUGCUUUAGUUUUUUUUCAAGGAAACACAUUUCUUCUGCUUUUUAAACAAACGCAACAUGAAUGUGAGUGUAUCAGCUGUGUGCACUACUAUAUAAGCAUUACUAUAUCAGGCAUGUUUGAUGCAAGUUAAACUUGGGGAGUUUUGUACUCUUUAUUGUAAUUAUUUCAUAUUAUAAGUACAAAUAACAUUAUAUUUCUUCAUCUUUUUCAUUUUUUUUUAAAUUAAGCAAUAAUU
Molecule: non-coding RNA, 1287 nt
Organism: Pimephales promelas (fathead minnow)
Lineage: Eukaryota; Metazoa; Chordata; Actinopteri; Cypriniformes; Leuciscidae
Source: RefSeq, a predicted model, not a curated record